RNAcentral lists this unclassified non-coding RNA (310 nucleotides) under plant metagenome. Its description in RNAcentral is "partial contains 5.8S ribosomal RNA, internal transcribed spacer 2, and large subunit ribosomal RNA". The stretch from base 1 to 105 matches the Rfam family "5.8S ribosomal RNA", at positions 50 to 154 of the family's 154-position model. The record is from RNAcentral.
GAAAUGCGAUAAGUAGUGUGAAUUGCAGAAUUCAGUGAAUCAUCGAAUCUUUGAACGCACAUUGCGCCCCUUGGUAUUCCAUGGGGCAUGCCUGUUCGAGCGUCAUUUGUACCCUCAAGCUCUGCUUGGUGUUGGGUGUUUGUCCCCGUCUCCGCGCGUGGACUCGCCCCAAAGUGAUUGGCAGCCGGCGUACUGGUCCCGGAGCGCAGCACAUGUCGCGCAAACGAGUGCCUUGGUACGGCGGCGUCCAUAAGCCCCUCUCUCACGCUCUUGACCUCGGAUCAGGUAGGGAUACCCGCCGAACUUAAGC